GAUGAACGCUGGCGGCGUGCCUAAUACAUGCAAGUCGAGCGAACGGACGCUAAUCUUGCUUUUCUGAUUUUAUCGGCGGACGUGUGAUUAACACGUGUAUAACCUACCUAUAUUUCUUGUAUAACUUCGUGAAACCUGUUCUAAUACCGUAUAAUCUUUUUAACCUCAUUGUUCAAAAUUUAAUGACGUUCUUUCUGUCACUUAUAGAUUGAUCCGCGCUGCAUUAGCUAUUUGGUAAGGUAACGGCUUACCAAGGCAACGAUGCAUAGCCGACCUGAGAGGGUGAUCGGAGACACUGGAAGUGAGAAACGGAACAGAGGCGUACGGGAGGCAGCAGUAGGGAAUAUGCCGCAAUGGGCGAAAGCAUGACGGAGAAAAGCGGCGUGAGUGAUGAAGGUCUUCGGAUCGUAAAACUCUGUUAUUAGGGAAGAAAAAAUGUGUAAGAAACUGUGAACAUAGUGACGGUAACAAAACAGAAAGCAACGGCUAACUACGUG
This 497-nucleotide ribosomal RNA is filed under the name uncultured bacterium. RNAcentral describes it as "partial 16S ribosomal RNA". It matches the Rfam family "Bacterial small subunit ribosomal RNA", at positions 28 to 507 of the family's 1533-position model. The record is from RNAcentral.